AGCAUAACGGAGUGCCUCAGGCAUGAGAGAUGCUCAGUACACAUUGGACCUGGUCCUGGUGCUGCACCCACACCUUUCCGUAUGAUGCCAGGUUUGCCAUCUUUUGUUUAUCUAUUCACCAGUGGAAGGGUGUUUGAAAAGUCUGGGCUAUGGUGAAGAAUGCUUCUAUGAACAUUUACAUUUCCAUCCUUUUGUGGACAUAUGUUUUCGUUUCUCUUGUGAAGAUUCCUCGGAGUGGAAUUGCUGGAUCAUGCGGCACUUAAAGCAAUAAAAAGCAGUUUGGGAAUUUCUGCCAAUGAUGCCUUUUCAUUAUAUGAAACAUCUGUUAACUACCUGCUAUGUGACAA
This is a long non-coding RNA of Hipposideros armiger (great roundleaf bat), 347 nucleotides long. RefSeq lists it as uncharacterized. NCBI's taxonomy places the organism in Eukaryota, Metazoa, Chordata, Mammalia, Chiroptera, Hipposideridae. The transcript is spliced from 3 exons. The record is from RefSeq and is a predicted model, not a curated record.